RNAcentral lists this ribosomal RNA (251 nucleotides) under uncultured prokaryote. Its description in RNAcentral is "partial 16S rRNA". It matches the Rfam family "Bacterial small subunit ribosomal RNA", at positions 525 to 775 of the family's 1533-position model. The record is from RNAcentral.
ACGAAGGGGGCUAGCGUUGCUCGGAAUCACUGGGCGUAAAGGGUGCGUAGGUGGGUCUUUAAGUCAGAGGUGAAAUCCUGGAGCUCAACUCCAGAACUGCCUUUGAUACUGAGGGUCUUGAGUUCGGGAGAGGUGAGUGGAACUGCGAGUGUAGAGGUGAAAUUCGUAGAUAUUCGCAAGAACACCAGUGGCGAAGGCGGCUCACUGGCCCGAUACUGACACUGAGGCACGAAAGCGUGGGGAGCAAACAG